GUGCUUGCUUCAGCAGCACAUGUACUAGAAUUGGAACAAUACAGAGAAGGUUAGCAUGGCCCCUGUGCAAGGAUGACGUGCAAAUUAGUGAAGUGUCCCAUAUUUCU
Molecule: small nuclear RNA, 107 nt
Organism: Mirounga angustirostris (Northern elephant seal)
Lineage: Eukaryota; Metazoa; Chordata; Mammalia; Carnivora; Phocidae
Source: RefSeq, a predicted model, not a curated record